GGAGCUGCUUUUACGCAGUGUUUUGAGGUGCAGGACUGCAAUGCCCGCACUUCCGGACCCCAGACUCUUCCUACGGCGACUGACACCUCAGACACGCGUUGUGGGGGGCGGCGCUCUGGCUCCGGGGCUGUGCCCAGCGCGAGCGUGGCCGGCACCCACUUGCUGCAGAGCCGGCACUGCACUGGGGUUCUUGGGGGCGGCUCCUCCAGACGUCUCUGCGGGUUGUCGGGUGCUGCCGAGUUGGGUUGGGGGACGCUACAGGUAGUGGGUCCGGAGCAGCGGCUGGCCCCUCAUCUCACUGCCCUUCCUCGGACCCCACCGUCCUCUGGAAGCUUGUGCAGGGCACCUGCCACUGUGACCACCUGGACGCAGGCUGAACUGUCUGCUUGCUUGGAAGGCCCAGCUGGCUCAGCACAAAUCCUUUAACCGUUUCUCCCCAAGAGGGUGUCAAGUCAGCAAACCAGCUGUGAUCUCCAGUUUGGAGCAGGGGAAGGAGCCAUGGAUGGAGGAGGAAGAGAUAAGGACGUGGAGCUUCCCAGAAAGCUGACUUCAUGAGACCGAGGAUCUCGUUCGUUGAUCGAUGCUACAUAUUCAGCAUGUUAGAUAAUGAGGUUGGUGAGAUUGAUGAAAUCCCGCCCACCAGGGCCGACCCACAAAGAGCCACUUUAUGAAGAACAUGCUCCUGAACUCCACUCCACAACCAGCUUUUGAAAAGAAAAAUCUGAAAAAAUUUGACCUCAGUUAAACUGGUCCAAAUGCCUGAGCAUAACCAAAAUCUUUCCUCAUUCACUCUUCACGUGGACCGUGUUUAAUUUGGUUGCUGGUGAUCAUAUUUGUUUUAGUAAAGGCUGUCACUCUAUCUUGGGCGAAGA
This 872-nucleotide long non-coding RNA is filed under the name Homo sapiens (human). RNAcentral describes it as "novel transcript". Lineage: Eukaryota; Metazoa; Chordata; Mammalia; Primates; Hominidae. The record is from RNAcentral.